Molecule: non-coding RNA, 2862 nt
Organism: Lolium perenne
Lineage: Eukaryota; Viridiplantae; Streptophyta; Magnoliopsida; Poales; Poaceae
Source: RefSeq, a predicted model, not a curated record
CCGCCGCUCAUCCCCACCGCCGUCCACCUCCCCUCCUGAGCCCCACGCGCAAGAUCGACGGAAGCCGCCAUGGACUCGCGAAGCAGUGAGGCUGAGCCCCCAGGAACCACUGCGUCGCGGCGGCCUUUUCGCCGGCGCGCGCGUGCACCGGUAGGACGGUGCGCGGCGCUCCGUCGAAGUCGCCGCCUGCGUCGCGUGCGUGGACGGCGGGUGCGUGCUUCACGCCGGCGAGGUGCUGCCGGCCAUCCGGUCGCGGCGGCGCAGCUCCACCGUUCUGUUCCCUGUCUCCGCCGAGGACCAGACCGUGGCCCACGCGGCGCCUUGUUCCGUGUCGUCGCCCUGCAGAGCAGCAGGAGGAGGAUGGAGGCGUCGUAGCAGUAGUACCGCCGGUCCAGCAGCUUCUCCGACCAGGACUCGACAGCGCACCUCGUCCCCGUCCGACUCCCUCAGACAUCUGGUGCUGCUACUCUGUUGGGGCCGCAGUUUUCAGGCAGUGACACGGGAAAAGGCAUUGGAGCUAGUGACUUGGCUUGUAAUUUCGAGGACACGUGUGCGCAGAUUUACUACAGCUGCAGCAGCAGGAGCGCGAUGACGGCCGUGGAGGCAAUUGCCAGCAGCAGAGCGAGCAUGCAGGAGUGGCUGUAGUAGGUGAGGAUGAUGCUUCCUUAUCAAACUGGAAUGACAGAGUUUACUAAUUGUGACUUAUAUGUUUUUUUCGUUAUUGUCUGUAUCUAGGUUACUCUCUUGCUUAGCCUCAUGGAUAGAAGAUGAUGUUGAUGAGAGCACUCCUAUGCAUAUCCCUUAAUGUUUAGUGUCCUAUAUGCAUUACUUGUAAUUAAUCAAACUACUGUCCAGCUAGUUGGUAAAAUCUGUUGCUGUUUUUUAAGUCAUGCCUGAUUGUUAUACAUUAUCAAUUUAAUCUUCUUUCUAUAAAUCCUCUAAGUGAAGAUAACUGCUGCCAAGUGGAUGAGCUUUAAUUUUCUACGUCAUGCUAUAGCCAUGAAUAUAUACUGAUUUAUGCCUACGCACAUAUUUGUAUGGAUGAGGCCAUGGAUGUGGCCAUACAGGACCUCCUCCAUGACCUGAAUCUGAAGACCAUGUAGGGCGUGACCGUGGAGUGCAGGAGGUUGCUCCCAAGGACCACCACUGCGACCUUGCUGCUGUUGUUCAGGGCCAUGUCAACACUGCAAUGUUUUUUUUGCUUUGUUUGUCAGCAUUGGGCCUCCAUUAUUUGGUUAAGCAUGUCAUCAUAUUGUUGAUGUGGAGCUUACUCCUUUGUAUUAAUCAUGUUGGUUGCUGUCCGUCCUCUGUUUACAUUAGAUUUCGAGGGCGUUGAGACCUGAAACCUUAGUUUCUGGUGCUCAAGUAGAGAUGCAUGCAUUUGUAAAAUGGGCAUGUGUACAACAGAUGCUAUAUUUCAGAGUUACACUAUGGUCUAGUAGUUAAUCUAGCUUGUUCUGUUUGCACAUUCAGUCAAAAAAUUAGCACACAAAGCAACAUGUCUGUGUAUGAACAAUCAUAUUAAAACCUUAGUAUUUAGUUGAAUUUGGUAUUGGUCGAGGCCCUAAUAUCCUUCUUUGGUCCUGCCCACAGCAUUUAGUUAAUUAUUUUCCUGAUACUAAUUGCAUCUUCUGGUAAUGCUGAAGCUCUGCUACUGAAGCAUCUAGUCAGGUGCAGCUAGUUCCUUGUACUGAUGUGUUGUUGAUUUAAGAGCUACCAUGGUUUAGUCUUGCUAGCACUUCUAGAUCUUUUUUUGCAUAUAUAAUAAUGAUCUUUUGGAGUACUGAAUCCUAAAUGCUCAAUGUUGGUAGUACGAAUUGGUAAUCUUCUGUUUGUACCAUGCUAUUUGAUACUGCAUAGUCUGCAUACCUGUUUGUUAAAUAUAUUCCUGGUUUAAUUUUCUACUGCCUACAUUUGAACCAUUGAAUGCUAAGGGCUGUUUGCUCUAUACAUUGUUUAUGUUGCUAUAUUAUAUUCAGUCAUGAUAGUGUUUGUGUGAUUUUGAUGUGCACAUUUAGAUGUUUGAGUGCUACUCCUACCAUCUUAUAGUUGAAAUUCUCUUUCUUUUUUGCUAAACUAAGACUCCAUGACAGCAGCCAUUGAAUUACUUGCAGUCUGCCUCUAGUAGUAAUAUUGUUUUGUUGCCAGGUUCAAAUGUGCUUGUGCUUUUCUCACUGAAGCUAAAGCUAGUUUAUGUGGUUUGUGUGAUUUAGAGCAGAUCUUGUUUAGGUAAACUAAUUCUUAUCUUUGUUCUUGUGCUAUUUCUGGUUAUAGAAUAGAUAAGAACAGAGUUUGCUGUACUAACCAUGAAUAAGUGCGCACUACUUGUAAGAUGGAUUCCCCAGAGACAACUGAGACAUGUCUCGAGCAUCAAUCGCACAAUGUAUUUCAUAUCACUGGACUGUUGCAUUCGAGAGCAUCUUCGUAGCUGUUGAGAAUGUUGUAUGGUGCGGUGGCAGCAAUGCUUGGCCUUGGCUACAACCUCUCCGGGAAGUGUAAGCGUGAGAUGGUAACGCUGUUGGUUUAUAGAGUUGGGGACGGCUGCUUUGCCCCUUGCUGCCUCUGGCUUCUUUGUCACAGCUUCGGUGGCAGUGCCUGCUGCUGUGUUUAUGUGUAGUAUUCAGUUGCAUUUUGACAAGUUGUAAUAGUUUCUUUUGUAAAUAUUCUAUGGUAAAUACUACUUAUCAUAGGCCGAUGUGAAGCAGAUCGGACCGAUCUGACACCCUCGAUUCCUCCCUGCAUCCAAUGGCCCCUGCAGCAGCCCGCUGUCUUCUUAAAAAGGCAGCCCGGAAAUUACACACGGUGACUCCCAUAAUAUUGCUGCCCUUCUUCCUCAAAACCGUCACUGCUCCUUAUUCCUAU